RNAcentral lists this transfer RNA (63 nucleotides) under Macrosteles quadrilineatus (aster leafhopper). Its description in RNAcentral is "tRNA-His". Lineage: Eukaryota; Metazoa; Arthropoda; Insecta; Hemiptera; Cicadellidae. The record is from RNAcentral.
ACUUAAGUAGUUUAUACUAAAAUACAGAUUUGUGGAUUCUGAGAUAAUUUUUAUUCUUAAGUU